Molecule: transfer RNA, 74 nt
Organism: Anolis carolinensis (green anole)
Lineage: Eukaryota; Metazoa; Chordata; Lepidosauria; Squamata; Anolidae
Rfam family: tRNA
About the family: Transfer RNA (tRNA) molecules are approximately 80 nucleotides in length. Their secondary structure includes four short double-helical elements and three loops (D, anti-codon, and T loops). Further hydrogen bonds mediate the characteristic L-shaped molecular structure. tRNAs have two regions of fundamental functional importance: the anti-codon, which is responsible for specific mRNA codon recognition, and the 3' end, to which the tRNAs corresponding amino acid is attached (by aminoacyl-tRNA synthetases). tRNAs cope with the degeneracy of the genetic code in two manners: having more than one tRNA (with a specific anti-codon) for a particular amino acid; and 'wobble' base-pairing, i.e. permitting non-standard base-pairing at the 3rd anti-codon position.
Source: Rfam
GCCCGGGUAGCUCAGUCGGUAGAGCAUCAGACUUUUAAUCUGAGGGUCCAGGGUUCAUAGUCCCUGCUCGGGCA